UACGAAGGGGGCUAGCGUUGUUCGGAAUCACUGGGCGUAAAGCGCACGUAGGCGGAUCUUUAAGUCAGAGGUGAAAGCCUGGAGCUCAACUCCAGAACUGCCUUUGAUACUGGGGAUCUCGAGUCCGGGGAGAGGUGAGUGGAACUGCGAGUGUAGAGGUGAAAAUUCGUAGAUAUUAGGAAGAACACCAGUGGCGAAGGCGGCUUACUGGUCCG
RNAcentral lists this ribosomal RNA (215 nucleotides) under uncultured bacterium. RNAcentral describes it as "partial 16S ribosomal RNA". It matches the Rfam family "Bacterial small subunit ribosomal RNA", at positions 524 to 736 of the family's 1533-position model. The record is from RNAcentral.